This 513-nucleotide ribosomal RNA is filed under the name uncultured bacterium. RNAcentral's name for it is "partial 16S ribosomal RNA". It matches the Rfam family "Bacterial small subunit ribosomal RNA", at positions 28 to 523 of the family's 1533-position model. The record is from RNAcentral.
GACGAACGCUGGCGGCAUGCCUAAUACAUGCAAGUCGAGCGAACAGAUGAAGUGCUUGCACUUCUGACGUUAGCGGCGAACGGGUGAGUAACACGUAAGGAAUCUACCUAUAAGCGGGGGAUAACAUUCGGAAACGGGUGCUAAUACCGCAUAAUAUCUUCUUCCGCAUGGAAGAAGAUUGAAAGACGGCUCUGCUGUCACUUAUAGAUGACCUUGCGGUGCAUUGGUUAGUUGGUGGGGUAAUGGCCUACCAAGACGAUGAUCCCUAGCCGACCUGAGAGGGUGAUCGGCGACAUUGGGACUGGGACACGGCGCAAACUCCUACGGGAGGCAGCAGUAGGGAAUCUUCCGCAAUGGGCGAAAGCCUGACGGAGCAAUGCCGCGUGAGUGAAGAAGGCCUUCGGGUCGUAAAACUCUGUUAUAAGAGAAGAACAAAUUGUAGAGUAACUGCUACAGUCUUGACGGUAUCUUAUCAGAAAGCCACGGCUAACUACGUGCCAGCCGCCUCAGUAA